GGAUGCGAUCAUACCAGCACUAAAGCAGCC
RNAcentral lists this ribosomal RNA (30 nucleotides) under Hordeum vulgare subsp. spontaneum. The record is from RNAcentral. Lineage: Eukaryota; Viridiplantae; Streptophyta; Magnoliopsida; Poales; Poaceae.